RNAcentral lists this ribosomal RNA (403 nucleotides) under uncultured bacterium. Its description in RNAcentral is "partial 16S ribosomal RNA". It matches the Rfam family "Bacterial small subunit ribosomal RNA", at positions 30 to 526 of the family's 1533-position model. The record is from RNAcentral.
AUUGAACGCUGGCGGCAGGCCUAACACAUGCAAGUCGAGCGAGCGGCGGACGGGUGAGUAAUGUAUGGGGACUGCCCGAUAGAGGGGGAUAACUACUGGGAACGCUAGCUAAUACCCCGUACUAUUGGAUUAAUCAUAGGGGAUUAGCUAGUAGGUGAGGUAAUGGCUUACCUAGGCGACGAUGCCUAGCUGGCCUGAGAGGAUGAUCAGCCACACUGGGACUGAGACACGGUCCAGACUCCUACGGAGGCAGCAGUGGGGAAUAUUGGACAAUGGGCGAAAGCCUGAUGCAGCCAUGCCGCGUGUGUGAAGAAGGCCUUAGGAUUGUAAAGUACUUUCAGUCGAGAGGCGUUACCGAAAGAAGAAGCACCGGCUAACUCCGUGCCAGCAGCCGCGGUAAUUC